Molecule: long non-coding RNA, 226 nt
Filed under: Lathyrus oleraceus (garden pea)
Lineage: Eukaryota; Viridiplantae; Streptophyta; Magnoliopsida; Fabales; Fabaceae
Description: Pisum sativum (pea) long non-coding RNA (PSAT_LNC021171)
Source: RNAcentral
UCUAAAUGACAUGAAACAAAGCAUAAAUAAAUACUAGAGAUAAAAAUAAUAAGGCUCCAUGUUGAAAAUAUUUUCAUAAUAAAUAAAAUAAUUCGUGUAAAAAAUAAAAUAAAGUUAGAAAUAAAUAUGGUAAAAUAAAUAAAAUGAAAAGUGAAAAGAACAAAAAUAAAAUAGAAUGUACACGCUAGCGGUUGAACCCUUGACCUUGGGGUCAUGGGGAUCAAAC